Long non-coding RNA from Oryzias melastigma (Indian medaka), 1694 nucleotides. RefSeq lists it as uncharacterized. The transcript has 3 exons. The record is from RefSeq and is a predicted model, not a curated record. NCBI's taxonomy places the organism in Eukaryota, Metazoa, Chordata, Actinopteri, Beloniformes, Adrianichthyidae.
UUCUGUUCUCUGUUUUUAUCUACUCCUCCUCUUCACUACUCUGUAUCAUCUUUCUUUUAGUUCUCCAUGCCUCUGCUUGGUGCAGUGUGAUUCAUGUGUUGUCCCUCAAGAGAUUCCUGAUUCCAGGUGGAUCGUCCUGCACCCUUCAGGAUGAUCUAAAGUGAGCAAACGCUUUAAUUCUGACCAGGACUGUGAAACAUCAUGAGCGUUUAUGCUGUGCUGAGUCAGCAAUCCUUUUACUCCUUCGGGUCUCUCUUUGAUCGCUCUUCAGCUGCCGCUUCUGUCAGGUCAACCAGUCAGACUCCUCAGGCUGGAUCUGAGCCCCCCAGGAGUGAACUGGAUCCCCGUCAACAUGUGGAGGAAUCAUUGCUGCCUCGAUUUUAACAAGAAAGACAAGCCGAGCGCAGAAACCUCGGACUCGCUCCGAGUCCAGCAAACACCAGAGCGGCCGCAGACGGACGCCGCGCUUCAGGAGCGUUCAUAUCUGUCAGUGGAAGACAUGAUAAACUCCAGAUGUGUGUUUGAAAUUCAAACCAACUUCAGGUUCAAAAGGGCGAUCAGUCAUCGCCAAAGACGGAUUCUGAGUCUAAAGCUUCAACUUUUGGCAAAAGGAAUAAAACCAACAAGAAAUUGGCUUAAAAAACAGGAAUUUUUCUGUAUUUCCUGAACAAACUUAAGGGCUUAGUUUAACUAGGAAAGAUUUUUUCUCUCAAAUUUGGAUGUAGAUUUCAGGUCGAAAGCCUCAGAAUGGAAUCAAAAAUCUCUAAGAAAUGAAGUCAAAGAAUAAAAUAAACAUGUCAUAUAAAAAAAACUCUGUUUAUUCAGAUCAGCUAAACAAACAACCCUCUGUAACUGUUACUAAUACUGAUUUUAUCCAACAAAAAUUCCCAAACUGACUUUUUUAAGAGUUUGGCGCCUAAACGAUGGUAAAAACGAGCAGCAUUAAACGGUACCAGCUGCUCCUCCUGCAGGCAUAAGCAGGAGGUCCAUCAUAAAGGAGGAGAAGGAGGACCAAAGAUUGAAAGUGACAGUCCAAAGCAACCAAAGAACUUCUUUACAUCCAGGACUGAUGAUAGACAAAUGUUCACAUCUCAACUAAAAGUGAACAUAAGAACUUCAUUAACUUACACAUCACGUGCACAUCUUGCGUGUGCAGCUUUCCUCCAUGAUCAGGAGCCAAGGAACCAGGUGUGUCAGUCAAUCAGGAUGACUGGAUCAUUUUCCUUACCGGUAAAGAGGGUCUGAGAGCAGAAAUCCCCAGUUUAGUUUAUCAAUCAGCUAUUGUUUAUAUUUUAUGACUGGUUUUAAGCUUUUGGUGUGAAGCCCAGUGAGACAACCGCAUUUUUAUAUUGGGCUAUAAAAACAAAUAAAUUAAUUAAAAAAUAUUGAGCUGUAUAAAUACCAUUGAAUUACUGAUCAUUUCCAAUACACUUUCCAGGGGCAUAAAAAUGGUACGUUCCAUUUUCAGGACGUCCCUUGAGGGGGUCGUACAAUCGCAUCUGUGCUCCCCUACUUAUAUUUUUGUUCUUUAAAAUAUAUUUUCACCAAUUUUAAAAGGUUUACAUCAUGUAAACUUAACUUUUUGAGAUUUUAAGUGUAUUAAAAUAGUAAUUCCUCACAAAAACAUUCCCAAAUCAGUAUUUUGAUCAUGCAUCUCUGAACAUUCCUCUAAAACCUGCUUCCUGAGCACCAGC